This 492-nucleotide ribosomal RNA is filed under the name uncultured bacterium. RNAcentral describes it as "partial 16S ribosomal RNA". It matches the Rfam family "Bacterial small subunit ribosomal RNA", at positions 29 to 507 of the family's 1533-position model. The record is from RNAcentral.
AGUGAACGCUGGCGGUAGGCCUAACACAUGCAAGUCGAACGGCAGCACAGUAAGAGCUUGCUCUUACGGGUGGCGAGUGGCGGACGGGUGAGGAAUACAUCGGAAUCUACUUUUUCGUGGGGGAUAACGUAGGGAAACUUACGCGAAUACCGCAUACGACCUACGGGUGAAAGCAGGGGAUCUUCGGACCUUGCGCGAUUGAAUGAGCCGAUGUCGGAUUAGCUAGUUGGCGGGGUAAAGGCCCACCAAGGCGACGAUCCGUAGCUGGUCUGAGAGGAUGAUCAGCCACACUGGAACUGAGACACGGUACCGACUCCUACGGGAGGCAGCAGUGGGGAAUAUUGGACAAUGGGGGCAAGCCUGAUCCAGCAAUACCGCGUGGGUGAAGAAGGACUUCGGGUUGUAAAGCCCUUUUGUUGGGAAAGAAAAGCAGCAGGUUAAUACCCCGCUGUUCUGACGGUACCCAAAGAAUAAGCACCGGCUAACUUCGUG